Molecule: non-coding RNA, 46 nt
Organism: Gasterosteus aculeatus (three-spined stickleback)
Lineage: Eukaryota; Metazoa; Chordata; Actinopteri; Perciformes; Gasterosteidae
Source: Rfam
CCAAAGGCUCUUUUAAGAGGCACCCACUUCUAAAGAAUAAAAAAGU